Molecule: long non-coding RNA, 320 nt
Organism: Pan paniscus (pygmy chimpanzee)
Lineage: Eukaryota; Metazoa; Chordata; Mammalia; Primates; Hominidae
Source: Ensembl
CUGUCUCCUGGCUGGGAUGGAGGAUGGAGGAUGGAGGGAAAGUGGAGGAAGGAUUUGAGAGCCUCUGCUUCCAUGGACAAACUCAUGCAAAGUGAGGGGAGCUGUGGUGAAAAGAGGUGCCAAAAGGGAAGUGAAUAGGGUGCCCAGGUGCAAAUGGUCACUGGAAUAUGCAUGUGGACUUUGUGUGGUUAAGAAACUACAUACGCACAGUGGAGUAGUUACUGGGCCAGAGAGCUGAAGUUAACAAAGGAAGAGAUCAUUUCUGCCCCAACCCCUUUGGGCAACAGCACAGUUUCCCAAACUUAAACUAUUAGAAUACA